Molecule: small RNA, 21 nt
Filed under: Arabidopsis thaliana (thale cress)
Lineage: Eukaryota; Viridiplantae; Streptophyta; Magnoliopsida; Brassicales; Brassicaceae
Description: ATSL296090
Source: RNAcentral
AAAGACAAAAAUAAAAUAAAA